GAUGAACGCUGGCGGCGUGCCUAAUACAUGCAAGUCGAGCGAACGGACGAGAAGCUUGCUUCUCUGAUGUUAGCGGCGGACGGGUGAGUAACACGUGUAUAACCUACCUAUCAGACUGGGAUAACUUCGGGAAACCGGAGCUAAUACCGGAUAAUCUUUUGAACCGCAUUGUUCAAAAGUGAAAGACGGUCUUGCUGUCACUUCUAGCUGGAUCCGCGCUGCAUUAGCUAGUUGGUAAGGUAACGGCUUACCAAGGCAACGAUGCAUAGCCGACCUGAGAGAGUGAUAGGCCACACUGGAACGGAGACAGGGUCCAGACUCCUACGGGAGGCAGCAGUAGGGAAUCUUCCGCAAUGGGCGAAAGUAUGACGGAGCAACGCCGCGUGAGUGAUGAAGGUCUUGGGAUCGUAAAACUCUGUUAUGAGGGAAGAACAUAUGUGUCAGUAACUGUGCACAUCUUGACGGUACCUAAUCAGAAAGCCACGGCUAACUACGUG
Molecule: ribosomal RNA, 497 nt
Filed under: uncultured bacterium
Lineage: Bacteria
Description: partial 16S ribosomal RNA
Rfam family: Bacterial small subunit ribosomal RNA
Source: RNAcentral